RNAcentral lists this ribosomal RNA (580 nucleotides) under Geastrum neoamericanum. Its description in RNAcentral is "partial large subunit ribosomal RNA". It matches the Rfam family "Eukaryotic large subunit ribosomal RNA", at positions 394 to 961 of the family's 3401-position model. The record is from RNAcentral. Lineage: Eukaryota; Fungi; Basidiomycota; Agaricomycetes; Geastrales; Geastraceae.
AGUACGUGAAAUUGUUGAAAGGGAAACGCUUGAAGUCAGUCGCGUCUUCAGAAAUUCAGCCUGGCUUCUGCCUGGUGUACUUUUCUGUAGGACGGGCCAGCAUCAGUUUUGGCCGCCAGAAAAAGGUGAGAGGAAGGUGGCACCUCCGGGUGUGUUAUAGCCUCUUGUCGUAUGUGGCGGCUGGGACUGAGGAUCGCAGCAUGCCUUUAUGGCCGGGGUUCGCCCACGUAACGUGCUUAGGAUGCUGGCGUAAUGGCUUUAAGCGACCCGUCUUGAAACACGGACCAAGGAGUCUAACAUGCCUGCGAGUAUUUGGGUGGUAAACCCAUAUGCGGAAUGAAAGUGAACGGUUGGGACUUCUGUCAUGGAAGGCACCGACGCCCCGGACUAGAUCCAUUGGUGACGGAUCCGAGGUAGAGCAUGUAUGUUGGGACCCGAAAGAUGGUGAACUAUGCCUGAGUAGGGUGAAGCCAGAGGAAACUCUGGUGGAGGCUCGUAGCGAUUCUGACGUGCAAAUCGAUCGUCGAACUUGGGUAUAGGGGCGAAAGACUAAUCAAACCAUCUAGUAGCUGGUUCCUGC